Long non-coding RNA from Vicia villosa (hairy vetch), 1170 nucleotides. RefSeq lists it as uncharacterized. The transcript is spliced from 5 exons. The record is from RefSeq and is a predicted model, not a curated record. NCBI's taxonomy places the organism in Eukaryota, Viridiplantae, Streptophyta, Magnoliopsida, Fabales, Fabaceae.
UUAAACAAUAGAAAGAGGAUUAGGUUUACAUGUUUGUGACUAUUGAAGUCCCUGAACGCAUAAACUCUCUUCCUCUCAUCCACGGCCGCGGCAGUGCUCCAAUUUCCUCCGGCGAACCUCCGUCUAUCCUCGCCGUGGAACAAAACCGGAACGACCUCCUCCCUCAUCUCGCUCUCUCGCUUACUCUCUGCUCUCUUCCGAUCUCGCGAACCUCCUCUCUUUCGACCUCGUCCCUCCUUCGCUCGAUCUCCUUCUCUCAUUUUUUCGUUUCUGAAUCGUGAUGCUAUUGUUAUUGUUGUCCGCAGGUGAGGAUGCGAUGCGAAGAUGACGAUUAAAAUUGUUGUAGAUGUUGAUUGAGGCGGUUCUGACUCAGCGAAGAGAAGCUUCAAUUGAUGUUGAUGAUUCGGUGCGAUUUUGUUGAAGCAUAAUGAAGAUGAUGAUGAAACGUCGGUGUUCUUGAAGCUCUACAAGUCGAUCUUGCUAUGGUAGAAGAAGAUGAUGCGUGAACGGAGGUUGUUAUGAGGUCGAAUCGGUGACGAUGAUGAUGGAGAUUGAAGUGGAAGUGUUGAUAAACCGAAGAAGAUGAAGGUGAAGAAACGGCAAGCUUGUUGAAGGUGAUGGUGAUUGAAGAGCGAGUAGAGAUGAUUCGGUUCAGAGAGAGCGUCGUCCAGAGAGGUUGAGAAAGAUGUGGUUGAAGGUUGAAGUUAUUGAGAUUCGAUGAUAAUGAGUGAAUUGAGGAGAAUUCGGUUGAGAGUUGAAGAGAGUAUGAGGAUUCAAGAGUUUGUUGAAGAAUCACUGGAGAGAAAGUGGUUUCGUUCAAAAGUUUGUUACAGUGAUGUUGGUUCAGUUUUCAUUGAACCGGUUCCCCUGACAUGGCUUGAAGCUGCAAAAUUUGACCAUAAGCUUCAGGGUGAUCGAUGAAUUCGGAUUUUGGCCACCGAUUUGAUUUUUCCUUUAACUUUGCCGGUUCGAUUUCGGAUUUUUCUUUGAUGCAGUUGCACGGUUGGUUUUGUAUCAAAAGCACCAUUGAAGGGUGAAUAAAGUGAAGAGGAAUUUUGAGAAUAGCAAUUUUCUUCUCUUUUUUUUUUUUUUGGAAUAAACUGGUGUAAUCUUUUUGUAAUUUUGUGGCCAUUUCUAUCUUGUAAGAAAUAUUGAAUGGAUAUUUGGAUG